This 459-nucleotide ribosomal RNA is filed under the name uncultured bacterium. Its description in RNAcentral is "partial 16S ribosomal RNA". It matches the Rfam family "Bacterial small subunit ribosomal RNA", at positions 338 to 795 of the family's 1533-position model. The record is from RNAcentral.
CCUACGGGGAGCUGCAGUGAGGAAUAUUGGUCAAUGGCCGAAAGGCUGAACCAGCCAAGUCGCGUGAGGGAAGACGGCCCUACGGGUUGUAAACCUCUUUUGUCGGGGAGCAAAGAGAGUCACGUGUGACUCCUUUAGAGUACCCGAAGAAAAAGCAUCGGCUAACUCCGUGCCAGCAGCCGCGGUAAUACGGAGGAUGCGAGCGUUAUCCGGAUUUAUUGGGUUUAAAGGGUGCGCAGGCGGAGGUGCAAGUCAGGGGGCAAAUUGCGGGGCUCAACCCCGUACUGCCGUUGAAACUGGAUGCAUUGAGUGCGCGAGAAGUAGGCGGAAUGCGUGGUGUAGCGGUGAAAUGCAUAGAUAUCACGCAGAACUCCGAUUGCGAAGGCAGCAGACCGGCGCGCAACUGACGCUCAUGCACGAAAGUGUGGGUAUCGAACAGGAUUAGAUACCCGUGUAGUC